AAAUUGAAGAGUUUGAUCAUGGCUCAGAUUGAACGCUGGCGGCAGGCCUAACACAUGCAAGUCGAACGGUAACAGAAAGCAGCUUGCUGCUUUGCUGACGAGUGGCGGACGGGUGAGUAAUGUCUGGGAAACUACCUGAUGGAGGGGGAUAACUACUGGAAACGGUAGCUAAUACCGCAUAACGUCGCAAGACCAAAGAGGGGGACCUUCGGGCCUCUUGCCAUCGGAUGUGCCCAGAUGGGAUUAGCUAGUAGGUGGGGUAAAGGCUCACCUAGGCGACGAUCCCUAGCUGGUCUGAGAGGAUGACCAGCCACACUGGAACUGAGACACGGUCCAGACUCCUACGGGAGGCAGCAGUGGGGAAUAUUGCACAAUGGGCGCAAGCCUGAUGCAGCCAUGCCGCGUGUAUGAAGAAGGCCUUCGGGUUGUAAAGUACUUUCAGCGGGGAGGAAGGGAGUAAAGUUAAUACCUUUGCUCAUUGACGUUACCCGCAGAAGAAGCACCGGCUAACUCCGUGCCAGCAGCCGCGGUAAUACGGAGGGUGCAAGCGUUAAUCGGAAUUACUGGGCGUAAAGCGCACGCAGGCGGUUUGUUAAGUCAGAUGUGAAAUCCCCGGGCUCAACCUAGGAACUGCAUCUGAUACUGGCAAGCUUGAGUCUCGUAGAGGGGGGUAGAAUUC
This 679-nucleotide ribosomal RNA is filed under the name Escherichia coli. Its description in RNAcentral is "bacterial SSU rRNA". It matches the Rfam family "Bacterial small subunit ribosomal RNA", at positions 1 to 669 of the family's 1533-position model. Lineage: Bacteria; Pseudomonadati; Pseudomonadota; Gammaproteobacteria; Enterobacterales; Enterobacteriaceae. The record is from RNAcentral.